GGAGUCUAGCAUGUGCGCGAGUCAUUGGGAUUCUCGAAACCCAAAGGCGAAAUGAAAGUAAAGGCACGCUCGCGCGCCGAGGGAGGAUGGGCCGGCCCGCGGGUCGGCCCCGCACUCCCGGGGCGUUUCGUUCUCAUCGCGAGAUGAGGCGCACCCAGAGCGUACACGCUGGGACCCGAAAGAUGGUGAACUAUGCCUGGUCAGGACGAAGUCAGGGGAAACCCUGAUGGAGGUCCGUAGCGAUUCUGACGUGCAAAUCGAUCGUCGGAACUGGGUAUAGGGGCGAAAGACUAAUCGAACCAUCUAGUAGCUGGUUCCCUCCGAAGUUUCCCUCAGGAUAGCUGGCGCUCGCGUAGCGAGUCUCAUCCGGUAAAGCGAAUGAUUAGAGGCAUUGGGGUCGAAACGGCCUCAACCUAUUCUCAAACUUUAAAUGGGUGAGAUCUCCGGCUUGCUUAGACAGUGAAGCCGCGAGAUACUCAAACAGGAUCAGAGUGCCAAGUGGGCCAUUUUUGGUAAGCAGAACUGGCGCUGUGGGAUGAACCAAACGCAGAGUUAAAGCGCCCAAAUCGACGCUUAUGGGAUACCAUGAAAGGCGUUGGUAACUUAAGACAGCAGGACGGUGGCCA
RNAcentral lists this ribosomal RNA (626 nucleotides) under Pelochares sp. UPOL RK0708. Its description in RNAcentral is "eukaryotic LSU rRNA". It matches the Rfam family "Eukaryotic large subunit ribosomal RNA", at positions 670 to 1254 of the family's 3401-position model. The record is from RNAcentral. Lineage: Eukaryota; Metazoa; Arthropoda; Insecta; Coleoptera; Limnichidae.